RNAcentral lists this ribosomal RNA (445 nucleotides) under Acinetobacter pittii. RNAcentral describes it as "bacterial SSU rRNA". It matches the Rfam family "Bacterial small subunit ribosomal RNA", at positions 40 to 479 of the family's 1533-position model. Lineage: Bacteria; Pseudomonadati; Pseudomonadota; Gammaproteobacteria; Moraxellales; Moraxellaceae. The record is from RNAcentral.
CGGCAGGCUUAACACAUGCAAGUCGAGCGGAGAGAGGUAGCUUGCUACCGAUCUUAGCGGCGGACGGGUGAGUAAUGCUUAGGAAUCUGCCUAUUAGUGGGGGACAACAUUUCGAAAGGAAUGCUAAUACCGCAUACGUCCUACGGGAGAAAGCAGGGGAUCUUCGGACCUUGCGCUAAUAGAUGAGCCUAAGUCGGAUUAGCUAGUUGGUGGGGUAAAGGCCUACCAAGGCGACGAUCUGUAGCGGGUCUGAGAGGAUGAUCCGCCACACUGGGACUGAGACACGGCCCAGACUCCUACGGGAGGCAGCAGUGGGGAAUAUUGGACAAUGGGCGCAAGCCUGAUCCAGCCAUGCCGCGUGUGUGAAGAAGGCCUUAUGGUUGUAAAGCACUUUAAGCGAGGAGGAGGCUACUCUAGUUAAUACCUAGGGAUAGUGGACGUUACU